CUGGCUACAGACUGAGCAUCUACAACUGAUUUGAAUAGGAAGCACAAUGAAGACGGCCGUUCAUGCUUUGUUUCUUUUCCUCUGGCUGAAGAUGGACUGGGAGAGCCAAGGCGAGCAAGUGAAACAGCACCCUUCCUCCCUGAGUGUCCAGGAGGGAGCCACUGCCCUCAUCAACUGCUCCUACACAGACAGUGCCUCCGUCUACUUCCCUUGGUAUAAGCAAGAGCCUGGGAGGCGUCCUCAGUUCAUCAUUGACAUCCGUUCAAAUAUGGAAAGAAAGCAGACCCAAAGACUCACCCUGUUGUUUGAUAAGAAAACCAAACACCUUUCCCUGAACAUCGCAGCCACUGAGCCUGGAGACUCAGCCGUUUACUUCUGCACAGCAAGUACACAUUGCUCCCCAGGCACCUGCAGCCUGUCUUCAAACUUGCCUCCGGGGCUAGAGUGGCGCCCUUUUGCUGUGUCAGACAUUUCAUGAGAGCAUUUGUCACAUUGUUUGUGAAUGGAAAAAACUGAUAAAGAUACUAAAGUAUGCAAGAUAAGACCCAAGAUGACUCAGGAAGUUUAAAACAUAUUGUUAAUUGCUGCUUAAUAAUUACUUAAAAUUGAUAUUUAUUCAGAGUAUCUUGGUUUAGGCUAACAUUAGAAAAUGAAUAGUUGGGUGAGUAGAUGCAUAGAGCGACGUCUGAAAUAAGGAGUCAACUUGCAUCUCCUUUCUGUGUGAGCCGAUCCCGGCAUGCCCAUGUGUUCAGCAGUCCAAUAACUCUGUAUCGGAGAUUCUACAGGAAUUGGUGAUGUUCUGCUUAGAAAAACACGCUCUAGCAAAUUUAAAUUUGACAUUCAGCCUCCUAGCAUGUGUGAAGCCUUCAGUUUCAGUAUCACAAUCUCUGGCCCUCAUGGACUUUUGACUCUAGAUAAUUGCUUUUGCUAUUUUGGGGAUUAAACAUGAAUAUAUAUGUAUAUAUGUUGUAUAAUAUAUAUAUUAUACAAUGUAUGAAAGUGAUUGACUGUGUACCUAGAGUGUAAAUUGCUAAAGUUUGUUCAAACCAGAGUAAUAUGUCGUAUCAAUAUAUUCAGAGUUAUAUUGUACAAUGUCAGUACUAUAAUUAAACUACAGUGUAUAGUGGAUUUUUGUUAAAUACGUGAUUUUAGCUGUUCUUGUCAAACACCCAAAACGUACCUGAAAAUGAUGGGCAUAUUGAUUCACUCCAAUGUGAUCAUUUGAUUACCCACAUGUAUCCUCUACCAAACAUACAGUUGUGAACCUCAAGUAGGUGCAACACAAUUGAUUUAAAGAAACACAUCACAUCUUUCCUUUUAUGUUUCAUUAAAGAUCCAAGCUCUUCAAGAAAAUUAACUCGAUUUCUACACUCUUGCUUUCUGCUGCUGCUCUGUCUUUCUGGUGUUUGUGAAAGUGUGUUUAUCAAUCACCUUACUCUGCUCUUGUAGUGGAUAGAGAAGGAGAUGAACUGAGGUUAAUGUACAAAUAGCUUCC
Non-coding RNA from Rattus rattus (black rat), 1495 nucleotides. Lineage: Eukaryota; Metazoa; Chordata; Mammalia; Rodentia; Muridae. The record is from the annotation of a RefSeq genome assembly.